UAACAUUAUCACCAACAUGAAAUCAUUUGAACUGUAUAACAUAAUACUUACCACGCCUUUGCAUUUCAAUCAUUAAACAACACAUCUUCCUCAUUUACCCCCUUCAACACAUCUUCCUCCGUUUUCGGCCAAAUUCGGCCACACUUGCAUCGGUCCCUGCGAUAGAACAACCCUAGGGCCCUCGGUGGGUCAAAAAAUCACAAAAAACUGAAACUUACCAGCGGCGGUGCUCUCGGGUGCGGCGACUCCUCCGGUGUGAGUCGCGUUUUGAUGUUUGGCUCUGAUUAACCUGUAGAGAAAAGAACGGUGAUCACAGUGGUAUAAAAUUUGCAUCAAACGAAGGCCGGGAAGGGCCUUAUCGGAGGCAAAAAUCGAGGAGGGGCGCGGCUGCGCCGCUGGGUUUCGGCUGGGUUUUCCAGCCGUUUGGCCGGUGGUUUGGCUCUGG
Molecule: long non-coding RNA, 445 nt
Filed under: Carica papaya (papaya)
Lineage: Eukaryota; Viridiplantae; Streptophyta; Magnoliopsida; Brassicales; Caricaceae
Description: long non-coding RNA (CPAP_LNC014439)
Source: RNAcentral